This 825-nucleotide ribosomal RNA is filed under the name uncultured bacterium. RNAcentral's name for it is "bacterial SSU rRNA". It matches the Rfam family "Bacterial small subunit ribosomal RNA", at positions 58 to 916 of the family's 1533-position model. The record is from RNAcentral.
CGAGUCGCGCGAGAAUGUAGCAAUACAGGAAAGCGGCGGAAGGGAGAGGACAACAUAGGAAUCUGCCCUGGGGUCGAGGAUAGCGUCGGGAAACUGACGGUAAUACUCGAUGAUAUCUUUGGAUCAAAGGAGCAAUCUGCCCCGGGAUGAGCCUAUGCCCCAUUAGCUAGUUGGCGGUGUAAUGGACCACCAAGGCUGUGAUGGGUAGCUGGUGUGAGAGCACGACCAGCCUCACUGGCACUGAGACACUGGCCAGACACCUACGGGUGGCUGCAGUCGAGAAUCUUCGGCAAUGGACGAAAGUCUGACCGAGCGACGCCGCGUGUGGGAUGAAGGUCUUCGGAUUGUAAACCACUGUCGAGGGGGAUUAAGGGCAACUUGAAAGAACCCUGGAGGAAGGGGAGGCUAAGCUCGUGCCAGCAGCCGCGGUAAGACGAGCUCCCCAAACGUUAUUCGGUAUCACUGGGCUUAAAGAGUUCGUAGGCGGCGAAGUAGGUGAGGUGUGAAAGCCCUCGGCUCAACCGAGGAACUGCGCUUCAAACCGCUUUGCUAGAGGGAGAUAGGGGUAAGCGGAACAGAUGGUGGAGCGGUGAAAUGUGUUGAUAUCAUCUGGAACACCGGUGGCGAAAGCGGCUUACUGGGUCCUUUCUGACGCUGAGGAACGAAAGCUAAGGUAGCGAACGGGAUUAGAUACCCCGGUAGUCCUAGCCGUAAACGAUGAGCACUAGUCUGAGGGACUUUCACGGUUUCUCGGACGUAGCGAAAGUGUUAAGUGCUCCGCCUGGGGAGUAUGGUCGCAAGGCUGAAACUCAAAGGAAUUGACGG